This 353-nucleotide long non-coding RNA is filed under the name Ananas comosus (pineapple). RNAcentral describes it as "long non-coding RNA (ACOM_LNC006571)". The record is from RNAcentral. Lineage: Eukaryota; Viridiplantae; Streptophyta; Magnoliopsida; Poales; Bromeliaceae.
UGACUCGACCACAAAACAUAUAGAAUGUUACGAAAGGACGCUGAUAUUAAUGUAAUGUCGAGAUGGGAGUCCGGCUGAGAUACUAUCGAUAGCACCAAGCGUUUGGUGCUAUCAAGUUUUUCGCCGUUAGAUUUAACUUUUUGACUAUUUUUAUCGGUUAGAUUAUACUAUUAAACCAAUACAACCCUAAGGGGCUCACAUCAUCUUAACUGUAUAUUUUUCAUCCAAAGGCCGAAACCUAAUAGCACAAAUAGUUUGGUGCUAUUAAUAGUAUUCCAGCCUAAUUCUAUAUGGUUGUAGAUGUGAAGGACAAUAUUAGGGUGAUGAAACUGGGGUUGACAUGAUGAGCACUU